CUACGGGUGGCUGCAGUGGGGAAUAUUGCACAAUGGGCGCAAGCCUGAUGCAGCCAUGCCGCGUGUGUGAAGAAGGCCUUCGGGUUGUAAAGCACUUUCAGCGGGGAGGAAGGCGGUGAGGUUAAUAACCUCAUCGAUUGACGUUACCCGCAGAAGAAGCACCGGCUAACUCCGUGCCAGCAGCCGCGGUAAUACGGAGGGUGCAAGCGUUAAUCGGAAUUACUGGGCGUAAAGCGCACGCAGACGGUCUGUCAAGUCGGAUGUGAAAUCCCCGGGCUCAACCUGGGAACUGCAUUCGAAACUGGCAAGCUAGAGUCUUGUAGAGGGGGGUAGAAUUCCAGGUGUAGCGGUGAAAUGCGUAGAGAUCUGGAGGAAUACCGGUGGCGAAGGCGGCCCCCUGGACAAAGACUGACGCUCAGGUGCGAAAGCGUGGGGAGCAAACAGGAUUAGAUACCCCGGUAGUC
RNAcentral lists this ribosomal RNA (464 nucleotides) under uncultured Klebsiella sp. RNAcentral describes it as "bacterial SSU rRNA". It matches the Rfam family "Bacterial small subunit ribosomal RNA", at positions 339 to 795 of the family's 1533-position model. The record is from RNAcentral. Lineage: Bacteria; Pseudomonadati; Pseudomonadota; Gammaproteobacteria; Enterobacterales; Enterobacteriaceae.